AACGCACGAGACCUGCGGACCUGCGGAAGGAUCAUUAACGAGUUGCACUCCUUUUUGGAGCCAUCUCCACCCUUGCGUACCGACCGUUGCUUUGGCGGGCCGGGCUUUCCCGCCGGCCAGCUGGCGAGCGCCCGCCAAAGACUUUACACUCGUUUACAAGCGUCUGAGCGAGAUGAAUGCAAAAAACUUUUAACAACGGAUCUCU
Molecule: unclassified non-coding RNA, 205 nt
Filed under: soil metagenome
Description: partial contains 5.8S ribosomal RNA, internal transcribed spacer 2, and large subunit ribosomal RNA
Source: RNAcentral